This 796-nucleotide long non-coding RNA is filed under the name Pan troglodytes (chimpanzee). Its description in RNAcentral is "long non-coding RNA NONPTRT010350". The record is from RNAcentral. Lineage: Eukaryota; Metazoa; Chordata; Mammalia; Primates; Hominidae.
CUUGUUUCUUUUAAUUUUAACAAUCUUACAGCUGAAGCUGUCUAAGAUUUAUUCAGGAGAAUAUAUUUUAUAACACCUCCUUUUUCCUGUAAACAUUGAAGGAAGGUUCGUGAUAUGGACCCUUGGCUGAAAUUUGAAGGUGAAAAAGGACUGCUCCGUUACCAUUUAUGGUGUGGGAAUGACUUUCCUUCACCACUAGCCUGGGUGAAAUUUAAUGACUGACCAAGAGGGAAGUAAUUCAUUCUUCCUGUCAUCCUAUUUUAUUCCCCUGCCCCCUUACCUUGUGCUCUCUUUUCCUCCUCAGUUCCUAUUAUGAUCUUUCUUUGUCAAGGAUGUUUCUCAUGAUUAAGUGCUUAUAUCUUCUUCUCCCCAGCAUAUUUGUUUGGAUAGAUUUAGGACAGAUAAAAAUGCUGAAAAUUGCCUGGUUUCUGUUUUCUCUAGAGAGAAAACCCUGAAAGAUUUUUAGCUAAUGGCAUUAGACCAGUUUCGAUCACUGUAAGAUUCUCUGGCUUUAGUUCUAUAACCCUCCAGAAGUCUAGAUCUUCUUGAUAUUAAAGAAAACAUGCACACUUUGAGUGAGCUACUGAGUUCCAUCUAAUUGUUUCCAUUUUACAGAGACUAAGGACAGGGGACCACUGGGAAGGCACAUAAGGAAACAAAAGGGACUUUGACCCAGAGACUGGACCCUGAGUCUAUAUGAAAUAGGAGGUGGGGCCAAAGUUAAUGGAGAACCUGGACUAACAGCCUCACCACCUUGGAUCACUUUCAGUAACCACGAGGCCUACCUGGAAGUGCA